This 198-nucleotide non-coding RNA is filed under the name Magnetovibrio blakemorei. Lineage: Bacteria; Pseudomonadati; Pseudomonadota; Alphaproteobacteria; Rhodospirillales; Magnetovibrionaceae. The record is from RNAcentral.
ACGCCGCAGUUUUCUUCAGGUGUUUUGAAUGCUGCUCAGCAUUCGAAAAGAAUCGGGAAGGCGGUGCAACUCCGCCACGUGCCCAACGCUGUGAGGGGGAGUGUUCAAGCGCAUACCCACUGGCUUAUGUUUAAGCUGGGAAGGGGCAUGAACACAUCGAUCCCAAGUCAGAAGACCGGCCUGGAGAAUUUUGCCCGG